This is a long non-coding RNA of Mesocricetus auratus (golden hamster), 1849 nucleotides long. RefSeq lists it as uncharacterized. The record is from RefSeq and is a predicted model, not a curated record. NCBI's taxonomy places the organism in Eukaryota, Metazoa, Chordata, Mammalia, Rodentia, Cricetidae. The transcript has 6 exons.
AAAAGGAAAUACAAUCAAUCCCAAACAAAAAUGUUGUUAAUGGUGUAGGGUUGGAGCUGUAGGACACUGAGCUAAGCCAAUCAUUGCAUAGCAUCAUCCUAACUUGGCCAGUGUCAAGUAGGAGAAUGUGGUUCUUGGCCAUGGUAGAGGUUUUUCUUAUUUUGUUAAUGAAAAGAACUCAGAGUCCAAUAAUCUUAAUAAUUAGCAUCUAAUGUUUCUUCUAAGCCUUCUUAUUUUUGUUACCAUUAUGAACAAACAAAUGAUAAACAUAAAGCACCAGGAAUCAUGAUUUAUGCCAUAUGGUGUGAUAGUAGUUUGUUGAGGAUGUUGAGGCUGGGAUGUGAGUUCAUUUGGCUCUGUGGAAAGAAGACUCUGAUAUACUUUUAAUAAUGAACUUAGUCUUUCAUAGCUGCUGGGGUCUCCAGCCUCAGUGGACUGCAGUGCUUUCCCUAUGGUCAGGGCAUUUUACUUUUCUCAGUAUUUAUACUUUAGCCAGUUGAUUACCAUAUGCUCAGAACAACUUGAAUGAGGCUUCCAAAACCACGAUGCCAACUGCAAAUCUUGAUUCAUCGGGUACCACAGGUAUGUCUACUAACAGACAUUACUUUAACAUGGUGAUAUCCCAUUUAAGGAAUUCAGAAAUAACAGAGGUGACCCUCCUAUUCAUUUUUCUUUUUAAGUGACUUGGUGAUUGUUACAUUAGCUGUAUUGUCAGUAUAAUUUUCUUUUCAUACAUUUAUGGUAUAUUUUAGAACAGUGAACUGUGUUGAUGUUCAUUUUGACUUCAUUCAGGAAGAGUGGGCUUUGCUGGAUCCUUCCCAGAAGAAUCUCCAUAAAGAUGUGAUGGUGGAGACUAUAGGAACCUCACUGCUAUAGAGUCAUACAGGAUCACCAUGAAAACAGCAAGGCAACAGGUGUCAGAUAUGGCAGAUAUAGCAGGAUGCUAAGAUCUCACAUCCUCAACCUGCAGAAUGAACCAGACAGUGGGAACUGGAAAUGGUAUGCAGAUGUCAAUUAUAAAACCAUACCCCCAGUGACAUAUUACCUCCAGCAGGGCAUCAUUUCCUUAAUCAUCUCAAAUGAUACCACCAACUGGGAAGUAUUGAUUUCUCUGACUUCAGACCUACAUGCUCGCUUUUUGUUAUAUGAAGCAGAUCAUGAUACAGAAAAACUGUAGACGUCAUUGUUUGUUAUCCAUCCUGGCUUGGAUGUCAGUACUUUGUCAUGGCUACCUUUGAACUCAUAUGUCUCAUGUUUCAUCGUCAUGAGUUCAAGACCAAGGGUAGAUGAUGUAACCCUGAUGUGUGCUCCUUUGUGGACAUGUUUCAACAAUGUUAAUAUUAACAUGCUUAAGAAGUUUAUUCUGAGUACUAAACUCUUGUGGCACUGAUGUCCCCAAGAGCCAGGGAGAUGAAAUGCCAAGUCAAGGGCUGGUGUGAUGAGCCACCACAUCUGCUGUUCCCAUUGUAGGAGCUCCAUGGCAGGUUUUUUAUCUUUCCACACUGGAAUGCUGAUGGAGUGACAGGGAGAGUCUUCACUGAAGACAAGACCUCAGCAGUUAGUGAGGAGAGGGGCUGAUGCCUGCCACCUAUCUGGAACACAUGCCAGACAGUGAAGGAGGAAAUUAUCGGACUUGUAGGUGUGUAAACAGAAGACACAACCAGGAAGAAAGGUUGCAAGACAAGUAGAAUGCCCUGAAACCUUCAACAGCAGGGACCUCAUGGAAGAUCUCAGGAUUGAGUAAAAGAUAUGAUCCCAGAAUGGUAAGUAAACACAAAGUGGGUUAGAGUUUAGAGUUUAGGAUUUAGGGUAUAGAGGUUGGGUUUAGGGUUGGGGGCUAGGGGUUAGG